GACGAACGCUGGCGGCGUGCUUAACACAUGCAAGUCGAACGGAAAGGCCCCUUUGGGGGUCCUCGAGUGGCGAACGGGUGAGUAACACGUGAGUAACCUGCCCUUGACUUCGGGAUAACUUCAGGAAACUGGGGCUAAUACCGGAUAGGAAUCCUUGCUGCAUGGUGGGGGUUGGAAAGCUUCGGCGGUUUUGGAUGGACUCGCGGCUUAUCAGCUUGUUGGUGGGGUAGUGGCUUACCAAGGCUUUGACGGGUAGCCGGCCUGAGAGGGCGACCGGCCACAUUGGGACUGAGAGACGGCCCAGGCGCCUACGGGAGGCAGCAGUGGGGAAUAUUGCACAAUGGGCGGCAGCCUGAUGCAGCAACGCCGCGUGCGGGAUGACGGCCUUCGGGUUGUAAACCGCUUUCAGCAGGGGCGAAGCUUGUGGUGACGGUACCUGCAGAAGAAGCACCGGCUAACUACGUG
RNAcentral lists this ribosomal RNA (465 nucleotides) under uncultured bacterium. Its description in RNAcentral is "partial 16S ribosomal RNA". It matches the Rfam family "Bacterial small subunit ribosomal RNA", at positions 28 to 507 of the family's 1533-position model. The record is from RNAcentral.